UACGAAGGGGGCUAGCGUUGUUCGGAAUUACUGGGCGUAAAGCGCACGUAGGCGGACUCUUAAGUCAGGGGUGAAAUCCCGGGGCACAACCUCGGAACUGCCUUUGAUACUGUGAGUCUCGAGACCGGAAGAGGUGAGCGGAAUUCCUAGUGUAGAGGUGAAAUUCGUAGAUAUUAGGAAGAACACCAGUGGCGAAGGCGGCUCACUGGUCCGGUUCUGACGCUGAGGCACGAAAGCGUGGGGAGCGAACAGG
Molecule: ribosomal RNA, 253 nt
Filed under: uncultured bacterium
Lineage: Bacteria
Description: partial 16S ribosomal RNA
Rfam family: Bacterial small subunit ribosomal RNA
Source: RNAcentral